AGAAUCAACGCUGGCGGCAUGCCUAACACAUGCAAGUCGAGCGAGAAAGGGUAGCAAUACCUGAGUAAAGCGGCGCACGGGUGAGUAACACGUGGAUAACCUGCCUCGAAGUGGGGAAUAACACCGGGAAACCGGUGCUAAUACCGCAUACACUGAUAAGAUCUGUGGAUUUUAUCAGGAAAGGAGCAAUUCGCUUUGAGAGGGGUCCGCGGCUGAUUAGCUAGUUGGUGAGGUAAUGGCUCACCAAGGCAACGAUCAGUAGCCGGUCUGAGAGGACGGUCGGCCACACUGGAACUGAGACACGGUCCAGACUCCUACGGGAGGCAGCAGUGGGGAAUUUUCGCAAUGGGGGAACCCUGACGAAGCAAUGCCGCGUGGGUGAUGAAGUCUCUUGGGACGUAAACCCUUUCGACGGGGACGAAGCCGCAAGGUUGACGGUACCCGUAGAAGAAGCCCGGCUAACUCCGUGCCAGCAGCCGC
RNAcentral lists this ribosomal RNA (480 nucleotides) under uncultured bacterium. RNAcentral's name for it is "SSU rRNA". It matches the Rfam family "Bacterial small subunit ribosomal RNA", at positions 26 to 518 of the family's 1533-position model. The record is from RNAcentral.